GGCUUAGUAGCUCAGUUGGUAGAGCAAAGGACUGAAAAUCCUUGUGUCGGCGGUUCGAUUCCGUCCUGAGCCACCA
This 76-nucleotide transfer RNA is filed under the name Domibacillus aminovorans. Its description in RNAcentral is "tRNA-Phe". It matches the Rfam family "tRNA". From Rfam's summary of the family: Transfer RNA (tRNA) molecules are approximately 80 nucleotides in length. Their secondary structure includes four short double-helical elements and three loops (D, anti-codon, and T loops). Lineage: Bacteria; Bacillati; Bacillota; Bacilli; Caryophanales; Bacillaceae. The record is from RNAcentral. RNAcentral also lists the same sequence under 1 other name.